Molecule: long non-coding RNA, 7582 nt
Organism: Pipra filicauda (Wire-tailed manakin)
Lineage: Eukaryota; Metazoa; Chordata; Aves; Passeriformes; Pipridae
Exons: 2
Source: RefSeq, a predicted model, not a curated record
GCACCCCCGGCCCGGCCGGCGGCGUUCGCUCCCUCGGGAGAGCGGCCGCGGCCGUGCGGUGGUGGGCAGGGGUCGUUUCCUCCCGCGGUUCUCGGGAACCUGAAACACCCCCCAAAUCAUCUUCAUUUUUUUAGCAAUUCGCCGUCGCCCCGAGGUUUAAUUUCUCUCCAGUAGAUCGGAGGGACUGCAAGUGAGAGCCAACCGAAGCAUGUGAACCGUAUAAAUAUUUACAGCGAGGAGGGAGCCUGAGCCUGAACCAGAGCCUUACCACGCCUUACCAGCGUAGGUGCUGGUCUUGGAUUAGAAGCUCUAAAGAUUAGGAGUCAGAUGGCUGCAAGAGUAAGCUCCUAUCUUCAGAUCCCCAACGCUGAAUUUCCCCAGGGGAUUGCUGGCACAGGAAAGAAAUACCACAGCUGGCCAACCCUUGCACAAGAAGUACUGAGGAGUACGGUGAAAAAAGCCCACAAGGAGCAUGCAUUUGGCAGAGAGAAGGCUCCUGGUCUCGGUGGCAACAGCUGCUGCAAGGUUUGGAUGCCAACCUGAGCCUUACAGAAAGAUAUUUCCCCCUGCAGAGAUGCAAGAUACUUCAGCUAAUCUGGGUCUAAACUCAGAGAGAAAAAGAGAGAUGGCAUUUCAAACUUGCCCCUCUAAACCUGCAAUCUACCUGAACUCAAAAUCUUAAUGGAAAAAAGAACAGAAUUAAAAGGCAAUAAAAUUGGAAUUUAAAGACUAUUCAGGCACCUAGUCCUCAACAGAUAGCUGCUAGGUAUCCUUGCAGCUAACAGAAGUAGGCCUGGAGAGGAUUAAAAGAAAUAAUAAAGCAUGAGUAAUUGGAAUAAGCAAACACUAACUCUUUCCCCUGAUAUUUGCUUUAGUCAGAUUCAGCAUAUAGAAAUCAAGUGACGCGAGACCAUCCUCUGCUCACUCAUUCCACCCUCACAGUUCAGCACAUGGAGUUCACUAAUCUUAUCUGGGAACUUCUCCUAAAUGAAACAGAGAGAAUACCAGAAAAGGCAAAUAACUCAUUUCCCCACUGAAUGUGAUACUGUAAGAGUUUGCACUGAAAGCUGAACCUACCAGCAGGAUUCCCAAAGAAACUUCUCAUGGCUGUGCAACUGCACUCCAAGGGAAAGCAAGAGAGGCUGCAAACAGCUCCUGAAGGAGGGGCAUUUGAUUGGGAACCUCCUCAAGUCCCUCUCUCCCUCAAAUGCAUUUGGCAAAAUUGUGUUUAAUUCUGGAUUACUCUUUCUCACUGUUGCUGGAAAUCAAUGUUGCCUCAGUCAGUCUGAUGAAAACGUGCAGAUUAACAAUGCCUAAAAAAUACCAGGCGUGCGUUUGUGCUGCCAGAGGAUGUCUCACUGGCAGGUUGCACAGCUCCCCUGAACUGACCGAGGAUUACAAAAGAAUCACUUUCUGCUGAAAUAAAACCCUUUUUCAAACACAACAGCUAGUUAAUAACUAACUGCAAGAUGCACAGUCGUUUAGUACAGGAAAUAAGCUCAUACUUCAGUGGAAGUGCAGGAGGACAUUAGGUAAACAAAAUAGUAGGGCUGGGUCUUGGCCAAAAUAUUGGUACUCCAGGGGUACGCUGACAGCAAGCACUGCUGGGUUUUUCACUGUCCCUUCGCAUGGUUCACAGCCAACUCAUCCCCACCUCACCAAAAAUACUGCUUUUGUGUUUUCUGUGCAAUGUCUAUGCCAGAGAGGUCGACCCUGCUGCCCCCACAAAGCCACUUCCUGCAGUGGGCGGCCACGUCUGUGUAGCUUCUGCUGGCCCGUCAGAUUGUAACAGAGCUGGCCUUGGACCAUACAUGUGGACCUGAGAACAAAUGUCCAUCAGCAAAAACAGCUGGACAGGUGAGAGCAUUUGCAGUGGGGCUCCUGCAGGCAGGAGGGCCUGUCCCACUCACUCAACUCAAGGCAGACACUGUCACAGCAGCGUGGAAGUUGUAGCUGCGUUGCAGUUUUUUUUCUUGGCCCUUUCACAGCAGAAGUGUUGCCCUCUGAAAAUCGCUCAGGGCUUUUAAUCCUUUGGUAAAUUCACAGAAGUUCUGUGCUGUUUUGUGCUUGUUCAGUAAAGGAAAAUCUAAACUUAUCCUUGUCUUCUCUGGCUGUAAAACUCAAUGUUGCUGUCUUGCUUUCUUUCCUAGUUAUGGCCUUGUCACUUAAGCAUCAGGUCCCACAAUGAUUAAUAUUUUACUUGGCAAACUGAUGCAAACUCAUGGACAUUACUGUCCUCCCAGGCAACUGGUACAUCUGGGGUUUUCCAGAAUGGAAACAAAAGGAUGCUGUCAAAAGCCAACCUACAUUCUCUGGGAAUAAUAUAGUACAUUUUAAAAAUUACUGUGAGCUUAACUCAUGGCAGUUGUGUAAUUUCUGGAUCACCUUUUCUACAAUCAGAACCGCAGCUGUAAAUUUUGGGAUGUCUGUUUUGAAUUAGAAAGAUAAAAGGACUAUAAAAGUGAGAAGCUCAUUUCAACAGGUCUUUUCUUCCUCAGAAUCCUUGGAUUUUAUUUUCUUGGGUUUUAUUUUUUUUUCUUUAUUUUCUUGAAGAAACUAAGCAGAGUAUUUGGAGGAAAGGUUCAUUUUUGAAAAGAGAGGAGGUUAAGGGAUGUAAAGCAAAUGGAAGGGCUUUUGUGGUAGAGGACGCUGCAGUGGAUGUUUGCUGAGACUGCUUUUAUUCAACAUCUUCACGCAAAACCCGCAGAAGGGAAUGUGCACAAAGUCUCAAGGUCUGUGGAUAUUCCUGACCUCCUUAGGGCAGUCAAAUACCAUGCCAAUGACAAUGAAGUCCUGCAGGAUCUCAAAAAACUGAACAAAAGGCACAAUAUUGGCAUAGGAGCUUUAGUGUGGAUAAACCUCUAAGUGGUAACGCACUUGGAGGAAAACAAUCCAAACCAAAGCUCUUUGAUGCUGACACUGGAACUGGCUGUCCUGGCCCAAGAAAGAGAUCCUGAAGUCGCUAUUAACAGUUGUCUGAGAUCAUCGGCCCAGCGUGCCUCUGCAGCCAACAAAACACUGGGCAGCAGCAGGAAGGUUGUUGAGGGAAAAAGACAUCAUUUUGUUGCUCUGUGUAUCCUCAGCAUGCCACAAACUGAGUCCAGUUUCCACGCUCGGUCUCUCACAGUGAAUAGGAAUAUACCGUUAAUUAUUGGUGCAGAGGAUGGAAUUAAAACAUGAUUUGUGGAGAGUCUGUGUAGAUGCAACAUGUUGUAGCUGCCUCCAGCCCUACAAAAUGGCAAUGAGAAAUGUGUGUGCUUUGACAUCCUUGAGUAAGAAGUUGUGGUUCUUUCUGAAACAGAGACAUUAGAUCGAAGUCUUUGGUACCAUCUCCUGAUUUCGUGGCUUACAGGUAGGUACAGAUACUCCCUUUGUCCUUCUAAAGAUUUUCCAAGUACAGUGUUGUAUCGCUAUCAGGGGGUUGGCUCAGGGUUUACAAAUGCAGGAUGACAUUUUAUGAGUCACAUCCUAACGCUUUAGGAUAACCCCAGGACUUGAUUUAGGGUUAUUAACAGGCCAAGAGGUUUAUUUAAAAUGCCUGUUUGUCUUUCCCUAGAGGGGACUUACAUUGCCUCCCCGUGCAGCAAACUUAAACACCUAUUUAUUGUUUAAACCCACUGGCAUUAAAAGUCUCUUCUAUUAAAUGGCAUUCUACUGCCAAAAUUUAUCUGCAAAGCAACAGAAUCACAACCCCUAAAAAGUAAUUUAACCCGCACAGCUGUUGGACCCAAGAAUGAGAUUGAAAAAGCAAGAUCACACUGUUUGAAAAGAGCAACAGAUUUAAUUACUUCAGUGAAAGUCUGCGCUGACCAUUGUUUUGGUACCCGAGCCUUGAGCAAGAGCCUCAGCGGUGAACAGACAGUGCGUCUUGACCGUGUCAUAUCCAUGUCUGGUGAUAUUUGCCAGUUGUAGAAAUGAAUUUGAGAAAAGUUAUGCAGUCAGUUACCUUAUAAUUCAUUUUGCUGCCUUUCUGUUGCCAGCUGACUUGACUGAAUGGAACAAACGUUGCAGUUACUGAGCAGACCCUUGCAGUACGCUGAAUUUUGAAUGCUUCACACAUUAAAGUUGUAAUUUCUGGGACACUCAGAAAGCUCCUUUUUCUUUUGCACAGGCUUCUCCCAGAGAGCAGAAGGCACUUUUUUUUUCGGCAUAAAUGUGCCACGCAUUAAGGCCACAGCAAAAGAAAACUGCAGUCUGCAUAACAAAAAGGAUGCAGAGCAGAGUGGAUUAAGGGCAGUGCAGUAUCAAAUUGGACAGGAGAGAUUGUUCAGUCUUCAGCUGGGAAAAACAUAACAAGACACAUGAUCCCUAUGUGCUUAUGUGAGACCUUCAGCUUCUGUGUAUCAAAGGAAACAGACAUUGCUUGAGAAGCCUGAUAAAUCCUUUCUUACCAGUCCAAACUGUACAUGGGAAAGGUGGACUGCAUCCUGCUUUGCUACAGUCAUGUAAACCUACUGUGAUUUUAUUGACUUCUGUGACCAUACUGUUAAAUACUCCCUUCUAUUUAUUCUAAUUGCAUAUCUAAUUAAACAGUUCACAAAGAGGGGUGUGGAGGAACAUUAGACCAUUAGCAGGACUCAUGGCACAAGUGUGUGUUGCUUUCUGUCCAGUACUGUGGGAUCUCACAAACAAUUCAGAAAGAAAAACCACAGAUGGUUGCUGGAGCACGUAACACCUUCAACUCUGAGGAGCAAGAGUUUUGGCUAAUAGAACUGCCUAGUGCCAGACGCUUCUGAAUAGACACUUUGUACAUCUUAUACUUGGCUCUGGUAAGGUGUAUAAUGAAAUACAACACACCAUUUUGUCACUUGAUUUAGCCCUUUUUGCUACCACAUAGUGCUGUUACAUGAUAAAUCUUCUAGCUUAUGCUCUCCUCCCAUCUGCCACCUUUUAUUUUUCCUCAUUUUUCCUCUUCUUCUUUCUUUAUUUAUAUGUUUAUUAGUGUUUAUGCAGCUGAUCUCUGCAUUAGUCUCAGCAUUAGGCAGCUUGGAAAUCAUCGUACCUAGAAACGCACCACACACUGCUGGCAGUGCAGCUACAGAAAACAAGCAGUUGAGAGCUUCAAACAGCAGUCCCUGGUACCCAUCCUAAAUUAAUCAUGGUUCUAGGAAAAUGAUUAUUCACCUGACAGUGCAGAGAAGCUGCUCAUCCAUGCAGGAAAACUGGAGCAGACAAGUCUGGGUGCAGAAAGCAAUUAAGGGAACAGGUAUCUAACCCUGCUGGGCUGAAUGUGUGUCAGCAACAAGGAAAAGGCAUUUAGUCUUUUCAGUAGGUCUGCAUGAAAUAGAGAUGUUGAUCACCAAUAAACUCAGCCUGCUGGCAGUGGUGUUGGACAUCCCCUCUCUGCCCACAUGCAGACAGGAGACUGUACUCCUCUGUCUAAUCCAGCCAGGGCUCAGGGUGGGUUUUGUCAGCCUCGAAGCUUCAGGACUUGAAACAAAAGCCAGCUGACAAAGUUUCUUUGCAACACCAAUGUUUAGUUUCAUGCCUAUGUUCUUAUCCUUCCUGCUAUUAUACAAUAUUUUUCAAUUUGUUGGACUGAGCAACUGAUACAGUUGCUGAUGCAGUGAUACAGCACUGAACUCAUGUUUCCAUGUCUUUAGCAGUGUUGCUCUGAAAGGAAAAUCCCAGUCUAACUGCUGCACAACUGCACAAAGUUUUUACAGACCCCAGCAGCGCCACAACUGCAACAGUAUGGUGACUUUAGCAAGGCCUGCAGUCAGCUCUGAAGCCAGCUGUUGGGGAACUGGCAAUACAACUCCUGGACUCAAAGUGCACGAGUCUCUGUGCAUGAAAAGCUGCUCAGUCCCUAACACACUUAUGCAGCACUUCUAGAUGCCUGGACUCAGCCAGCCAGCACUGCUGCUGAAACCCCCUAAAUAUAUGGCUGCAGAGAAAGCUCCUAAACCAGCACUGCCCUCGUGGAGGCCCCACUGCACAGCAUCUCUUUCCUCCCAGCAGAGCAGCGUGUGACUGCAGUGCUGGCCUCCACCACAUCAUUAGCCUUCAGGUUAACAAUGCUCAGCCUCUCCUCUUUAAGGAUGCUGACUCUAGAAGCACUCAAAUAUUUGACAUUUAGACUCAUGAGUCACACUCAGUUACUCAAGAAUUGGUAUUUUAAUUUGUUCACCUUCCCAAGAACCACUUACAUGUUGAGGAACAGAAAGUUUUACUCUGGGGGAGGAAUUCUUCACUGUUUUCAAGAGGAUUUGUACCACGUUUCCAAUAGGAGUUUCAAUGUAAGGUCAAAAUUGCACAUGUGCAGAAUUUUUUAAAUGGUUAAAACUUUGUAGAAAGGUAACCAACUCACUUCAUACUCCAGAGAUUAUGUGAGGAAAGCACAGAAGAAAUUUCAGAAAACACCGGGACAGGCAAGCACUCAGCCCAUCAGAACAUGGUACCCUAUUAUGGUACUAAGGGAAAAAAUGAAGUGUGCUCUGUGAUGCUCAUCGAGACUGCUGGCAAGUUUGUUUACUCAAAUCCAAGUAUCUCUUCUCAUUAUCAUGUUCAAACAGCUCACAUACAUAAUGAGAACUUUUAGGUACAGUACAGGAAAUUGUACAUACCUCAAAAUAACAUCUGACCACUUCAAAUCAACAUUCAAAAAUGUGACACCCAAAACAAAAGUCACCAGGAUGUAAGUCAACACAGACUCAGCUUCUACAACUUUGCUUCCCAGGAAUAAAAACUUCCCAUGGGGCCCACUUCCUUGAUGCCCAAACUCCAGGAAAUAGUUUUGACUCGGGAGACUCAUCUGAAACUACAAGACUUCAUCUCUCAGACCAUUAAUGCAGUUUUUCAGUGAACUUCUAUUCCUUCGGAUGCAGCCAGGCUUUGCUGCUGACAGAAAAAGGAGCCUCAAAAGGAAAACCCACCCCAGACACGGGUUUAUGACUACAGCAGCACUGGUGUACAGCACUACUCAGUGUAACUCCAUUGAAAGAAUGGACACCCAUGAGAACACAGACAUUACAGCCUCGAGAUUAAGAUGAGCUCAAAUGUGUAUUUGACAAAAAUACAGAAAUAUUCAGUGUCAUAAUAAUACAGAAGUUACUUUGCUUUGGAUAAAAGCAAGGUAUUCAAUAAUUUAAGGUUAAAACAACUCUCCAUAUGCAUUGGUACUUGGCCAAGUAAAAAAAAUAUCCAGUACCUUUACACUCAAGACAGGCAGAAAAGACAAACUAACAUAUUUGACUGCAACUUCAAGUAGAGGUGCCCCUACUACAAUACUCCACCUACAAAUCCUUUCUCUACCUAUGCCACCUUUUCUACUUUUUGAGCCUUCUGUUCAGACCAGCUGGCCAAGACCUCAGCCUCUGAAAGCUUCACAUCGAGAAUAUGCAAAACAUCAUCCUCAGUAUUAACCAGUCAUACCAACAACCCUUAAAAAAAAAAGACAAAACCUUUACUGCUCCAAUCGUCUGAAGAACCCUUAAGGGUGCAGGUUAAAAUGUCAGCUUCUUAGCAAGGCCUUUCAUCCAGCCCUGAGGUAGUUUCUGUCCCAGGACAUCAAGUGCUCAGUCUUGCAAAGGCCGCAGUUAAACAGACUGGGUUUAUUAAAAAACUGCAUUCUGCCACCCCA